UCCAGCCAUACCGCGUGGGUGAAGAAGGCCUUCGGGUUGUAAAGCCCUUUUGUUGGGAAAGAAAAGCAGUCGGUUAAUACCCGAUUGUUCUGACGGUACCCAAAGAAUAAGCACCGGCUAACUUCGUGCCAGCAGCCGCGGUAAUACGAAGGGUGCAAGCGUUACUCGGAAUUACUGGGCGUAAAGCGUGCGUAGGUGGUUGUUUAAGUCUGUCGUGAAAGCCCUGGGCUCAACCUGGGAAUUGCGAUGGAAACUGGGCGACUAGAGUGUGGCAGAGGGUAGUGGAAUUCCUGGUGUAGCAGUGAAAUGCGUAGAGAUCAGGAGGAACAUCCGUGGCGAAGGCGACUGCCUGGGCCAACACUGACACUGAGGCACGAAAGCGUGGGGAGCAAACAGGAUUAGAUACCCUGGUAGUCCACGCCCUAAACGAUGCGAAUAAGGGGUUGGGUGCAAUUUGGCACGCAGUAUCGAAGCUAACGC
RNAcentral lists this ribosomal RNA (480 nucleotides) under Xanthomonas sp. JS2317. RNAcentral describes it as "bacterial SSU rRNA". It matches the Rfam family "Bacterial small subunit ribosomal RNA", at positions 387 to 858 of the family's 1533-position model. Lineage: Bacteria; Pseudomonadati; Pseudomonadota; Gammaproteobacteria; Lysobacterales; Lysobacteraceae. The record is from RNAcentral.